AUGAACGCUGGCGGCGUGCCUAAUACAUGCAAGUCGAGCGAACAGACGAGGAGCUUGCUCCUCUGACGUUAGCGGCGGACGGGUGAGUAACACGUGGAUAACCUACCUAUAAGACUGGGAUAACUUCGGGAAACCGGAGCUAAUACCGGAUAAUAUAUUGAAUCGCAUGGUUCAAUAGUGAAAGACGGUUUUGCUGUCACUUAUAGAUGGAUCCGCGCCGCAUUAGCUAGUUGGUAAGGUAACGGCUUACCAAGGCGUCGAUGCUUAGCCGACCUGAGAGGGUGAUCGGCCACACUGGAACUGAGACACGGUCCAGACUCCUACGGGAGGCAGCAGUAGGGAAUCUUCCGCAAUGGGCGAAAGCCUGACGGAGCAACGCCGCGUGAGUGAUGAAGGUCUUCGGAUCGUAAAACUCUGUUAUUAGGGAAGAACAAAUGUGUAAGUAACUAUGCACGUCUUGACGGUACCUAAUCAGAAAGCCACGGCUAACUACGUG
This 496-nucleotide ribosomal RNA is filed under the name uncultured bacterium. RNAcentral's name for it is "partial 16S ribosomal RNA". It matches the Rfam family "Bacterial small subunit ribosomal RNA", at positions 29 to 507 of the family's 1533-position model. The record is from RNAcentral.